RNAcentral lists this ribosomal RNA (484 nucleotides) under uncultured bacterium. Its description in RNAcentral is "partial 16S ribosomal RNA". It matches the Rfam family "Bacterial small subunit ribosomal RNA", at positions 30 to 507 of the family's 1533-position model. The record is from RNAcentral.
AUUGAACGCUGGCGGCAGGCCUAACACAUGCAAGUCGAGCGGAUGAAGGGAGCUUGCUCCUGGAUUCAGCGGCGGACGGGUGAGUAAUGCCUAGGAAUCUGCCUGGUAGUGGGGGAUAACGUCCGGAAACGGGCGCUAAUACUGCAUACGUCCUGAGGGAGAAAGUGGGGGAUCUUCGGACCUCACGCUAUCAGAUGAGCCUAGGUCGGACUAGCUAGUUGGUGGGGUAAAGGCCUACCAAGGCGACGAUCCGUAACUGGUCUGAGAGGAUGAUCAGUCACACUGGAACUGAGACACGGUCCAGACUCCUACGGGAGGCAGCAGUGGGGAAUAUUGGACAAUGGGCGAAAGCAUGAUCCAGCCAUGCCGCGUGUGUGAAGAAGGUCUUCGGAUUGUAAAGCACUUUAAGUUGGGAGGAAGGGCAGUAAGUUAAUACCUUGCUGUUUUGACGUUACCAACAGAAUAAGCACCGGCUAACUUCGUG